Molecule: long non-coding RNA, 1400 nt
Organism: Drosophila pseudoobscura
Lineage: Eukaryota; Metazoa; Arthropoda; Insecta; Diptera; Drosophilidae
Exons: 2
Source: RefSeq, a predicted model, not a curated record
UGUUGAGGGUUAUUACUGUUGUUGCCGUUGUUGCUGCUGCCGCCGCUGCUGCAUGUUUGGUGUCUGAGCUAAAGAUACCCGCAUCGGUGUGAAAAUAAAAUGGAGUGCGUCUCAAUUGUGUCUUGAAGUAGACGGAAACUCCUCCGCAACGCCACGGUCAAUCGUAUGCAGGGGUGUGUAUACAUACAUAUAUGUGUACAUACAUACAUACAUUAAGUAGUAUAUCGUAAAUGUCUGCGUGUUUCUUCUGCUCUAUGGACUCGACCAUGUUUGAUUUUAAAGUCCGUUUCCCGAUAUCAGGAAGGCAGGCCGCACACACCAGAUUGAAAGGAAUUCGCAUUCGUCCUUUUGUUCCCCAGCAUUGCCAAGACUCGUCCUUUCCUGGGAGUUAUGUAUGUGCAUAUGUAUGUAUCUAAUCAUUCAUUUAAGAUUCACACGAUUUUGUUCUUUUGUGGAAGUUUGAAGUUUACCACUAUGAGAGGCUCCUUCUCUAUGGGUUAUAUUGGAAAGCCUUAUUGGAAAAUUAAUCAUGAAUUUCUGUUUUUUCUUAAAACGUUUUCUUCAAAACUUCCUCAAGGGGUUAGGAGUGACAUUCAUUUUAAAUUUAAUCCAAUUAAUUCGUUUAAAUCAUGAUGUCUGUAAAGGAUCUGAUAUGGACAGAUGAAGACAUUUUAGGAAAAAUUUUCUGCCAACUCCCGUAAACGAAAAACUGCCCGUAUCGGAUUGGAUUGAAAUCAAAUUAAAAUAUAAGGUGUUUUCGGUAUUUUAUAACAGUAAGCAGGAUGAUUCUACCAGGAGAGGCAUCGCCCAUGAAGUGUUACUUAAAUAAAUUUGGGAAGUGUCUUGGAUGUUUGAUUGAUUCAUGUUUGGGAAAACUUUCGUUGUGUAGCGUUAGAUCUGAUGGAUAGUCCUUCUAUGGAAAAUGUAGUCGUUCUGAAUUCUCCUUUGUACUAUUCAGAAUAGUAAUCCUGGCUGCCGAAACUAUUCAAUUCUAUGGAUCAGCAUAAGCCCUACGUAGAGUUUCUCGGUUUCUCAACUGAACAAUACGUACGAAUGAAUAUUCAAUGCUUGUCCAAUCGAAAUUCUUGUUAGAAAAAACCAAAAACAUUUAAUUUUCAGUGAAUGAAGUACAAAGACACGCGUACAGAUUUAUUUCCUUACGAAUCAUCCAAUUAAAUCUGACUCUAGGCAGUCUUCUCUUGCAGUGUUCGCGUUGUUUAACAACUCUGCAGCAUGCUAGUCUUGGCGAUGAAAAAGAGGCUGGUCACAUAGGUAAGCGGGAAUAUGGGAUCAGCGAUUAAAUAAAAAUAACUGGAGGAAGAUUGGAAAGUCACAGGGAAAUUAAAACAAUGCUUUUUCGAAUUUAAUUCAAAUCGAUAGAGUAUCAGGGUGUGGUGAUG